This 1235-nucleotide ribosomal RNA is filed under the name metagenome. Its description in RNAcentral is "SSU rRNA". It matches the Rfam family "Eukaryotic small subunit ribosomal RNA", at positions 495 to 1759 of the family's 1831-position model. The record is from RNAcentral.
AUUGGGUUCCGGCAUUGGAAUGAGAACAAUAUAAAUCUUUUAACGAGGAUCUAGUGGAGGGCAAGUCUGGUGCCAGCAGCCGCGGUAAUUCCAGCUCCGCAAGUGUAUAUCUAUGUUGCUGCAGUUAAAAAGCUCGUAGUUGGAUCUGCGUGUUUAGCGUCCGGUUCGACUUUUGGUCGUUACUGGAACGCGACACAGAUGUGCUGGUUUGCCGUUGAUGCUCUUAACCGGGUGUCAGUGGCGGCUAGCGAGUUUACUUUGAAAAAAUUAGAGUGCUCAAAACAGGCGUUUCGCCUGAAUAUUUCUGCAUGGAAUAAUAGAAUAGGACUUCGAUUCUAUUCUGUUGGUUUUCGGAAUGCGAAGUAAUGAUUAAGAGGGACAGACGGGGGCAUUCGUACUGCGACGUUAGAGGUGAAAUUCUUGGAUCGUCGCAAGACGUACUACUGCGAAGGCAUUUGCCAAGAAUGUUUUCAUUAAUCAAGAACGAAAGUUAUGGGUUCGAAGGCGAUCAGAUACCGCCCUAGUCAUAACCGUAAACGAUUCAAACUGGGCGCCCGACGGUGUUUUUAUUGACCCGUCGGGAACCCUCCCGGAAACGAAAGUGUUCGUGUUCCGGGGGAAAUAUGUCUGCAAAGAGGAAACUUAAAGGAAUUGACGGAAGGGCACCACCAGGGGUGGAGCCUGCGGCUUAAUUUGACCCAACACGGGGAAACUCACCCGGCCCGGACACCGUAAGGAUUGACAGAUUGAGAGCUCUUUCUUGAUUCGGUGGGUGGUGGUGCAUGGCCGUUCUUAGUUGGUGGAGUGGUUUGUCUGGUUUAUUCCGAUAACGAACGAGACUCUGGCCUGCUAACUAGUGUUCACAUCUUUACGUGUGCUUCGCUUCUUAGAGGGACAGGCGGCUUCCAGCCGCAUGAAGAAGAGCAAUAACAGGUCUGUGAUGCCCUUAGAUGUCCGGGGCUGCACGCGCGCUACACUGAAAGAAUCAGCGUGUACGUUACCUGGCUCGAAAGAGUCGGGUAAUCCGGUGAAAAUCUUUCGUGAUUGGGAUCGGGACUUGCAAUUAUUUCCCUUGAACGAGGAAUCCCUAGUAAGUGCGGGUCAUCAGCUCGCGCUGAUUACGUCCCUGCCCUUUGUACACACCGCCCGUCGCUGCCCGGAACUGAGCCGUUUCGAGAAAAAUGGGGACUGUCUACUUGAGGUCUUCACGGACUUUUUGUAAAUGGAAACCGCUU